GAUGUCUUGGAUCUAAAAAAUGGCAGCUAUGUUUUCAAUGUAAAAUGUCUCUGGACUGGAUUAUCUUCGCUUCACUUGGCCAUCGCCUACCCUCGUGAAUUCAUCAGGACCGUCAUCCACCAGAUUCACAUUGGGGCAACAAGAUUAAUGGCCGCCACAUUUAAAAAGGGAAACUAUAAUGAGGACACCAUUUGUUUUCAAGCUCCAAACAUACCAGGUUGGGAAUGUAUUUGUAACUUCAGCAAGUUUGGUUACGAGAAUUAUUACUGUGGUAGACCGAGAAAUAAUCAUUUAUCAUGUGACGACUGGAUAGAAGGGGGAUAUUUAGAUUUAUCACCGCCCCACGACGUUACAGAAGAUGAAAGAAGUCUGAUUAAGUCUAUUUGCACGUAA
Physella acuta is the source of this 393-nucleotide long non-coding RNA. RefSeq lists it as uncharacterized. The record is from RefSeq and is a predicted model, not a curated record. Lineage: Eukaryota; Metazoa; Mollusca; Gastropoda; Physidae.